This 200-nucleotide ribosomal RNA is filed under the name uncultured bacterium. RNAcentral describes it as "partial 16S ribosomal RNA". It matches the Rfam family "Bacterial small subunit ribosomal RNA", at positions 8 to 219 of the family's 1533-position model. The record is from RNAcentral.
AGAGUUUGAUCCUGGCUCAGAUUGAACGCUGGCGGCAUGCUUUACACAUGCAAGUCGAACGGCAGCACGGGAGCUUGCUCCUGGUGGCGAGUGGCGAACGGGUGAGUAAUGCAUCGGAACGUGCCCAGUCGUGGGGGAUAACUAGUCGAAAGAUUAGCUAAUACCGCAUACGACCUGAGGGUGAAAGCAGGGGAUCUUCG